UAGGUGGAUAGGUAGAGAAUACCAAGGCGAUCGAGAGAAUCGUGGUGAAGGAACUCGGCAAAAUACCCCCGUAACUUCGGGAUAAGGGGGACCUGACGUGUCACAGGACUUGCUCCUGCCGGCACUGAGGGUCGCAGAGACCAGGCCCAAGCGACUGUUUACUAAAAACACAGGUCCGUGCCAAGUUGAAAGACGAUGUAUACGGACUGACUCCUGCCCGGUGCUGGAAGGUUAAGGGGAAGUGUUAGCGCAAGCGAAGCACCGAACUUAAGCCCCAGUAAACGGCGGUGGUAACUAUAACCAUCCUAAGGUAGCGAAAUUCCUUGUCGGGUAAGUUCCGACCUGCACGAAUGGAGUAACGAUUUGGGCGCUGUCUCCACCACGAACUCGGCGAGAUUGCACUAUGAGUAAAGAUGCUCAUUACGCGCAGCAGGACGGAAAGACCCCGGGACCUUUACUAUAGUUUGGUAUUGGUGUUCGGUACAGCUUGUGUAGGAUAGGUGGGAGACUUUGAAGCGAGGACGCCAGUUCUUGUGGAGUCAACGUUGAAAUACCACUCUGGCUGUUCUGGAUAUCUAACCUAGGUCCAUUAUCUGGAUCAGGGACAGUGCCUGAUGGGUAGUUUGACUGGGGCGGUCGCCUCCCAAAAUGUAACGGAGGCGCCCAAAGGUUCCCUCAGCCUGGUUGGCAAUCAGGUUUGAGUGUAAGUGCACAAGGGAGCUUGACUGUGAGAGGGACACCUCGAGCAGGGACGAAAGUCGGGACUAGUGAUCUGACGGUGGCACGUGGAAGCGCCGUCACUCAACGGAUAAAAGGUACCCCGGGGAUAACAGGCUGAUCUUGCCCGAGCGUCCAUAGCGACGGCAUGGUUUGGCACCUCGAUGUCGGCUCGUCGCAUCCUGGGGCUGGAGUCGGUCCCAAGGGUUGGGCUGUUCGCCCAUUAAAGCGGCACGCGAGCUGGGUUUAGAACGUCGUGAGACAGUUCGGUCCCUAUCCGCUGCGCGCGUAGGAAUCUUGAGAGAGGCUGUCCUUAGUACGAGAGGACCGGGACGGACAAACCUCUGGUGUGCCAGUUGUCCUGCCAAGAGCACGGCUGGUUGGCUACGUUUGGAAGUGAUAACCGCUGAAAGCAUCUAAGCGGGAAGCACGUCUCAAGAUGAGGGUUCCCACAGAAUAAUCUGGUAAGGCCCCCGGAAGACCACCGGGUUGAUAGGUCGGAUGUGGAAGUGCAGUAAUGCAUGGAGCCGACCGAUACUAAUAGGCCGAGGGCUUGUUUC
RNAcentral lists this ribosomal RNA (1277 nucleotides) under metagenome. RNAcentral's name for it is "bacterial LSU rRNA". It matches the Rfam family "Bacterial large subunit ribosomal RNA", at positions 1660 to 2925 of the family's 2925-position model. The record is from RNAcentral.